RNAcentral lists this ribosomal RNA (485 nucleotides) under Pseudomonas sp. CL3.81. RNAcentral's name for it is "bacterial SSU rRNA". It matches the Rfam family "Bacterial small subunit ribosomal RNA", at positions 15 to 495 of the family's 1533-position model. Lineage: Bacteria; Pseudomonadati; Pseudomonadota; Gammaproteobacteria; Pseudomonadales; Pseudomonadaceae. The record is from RNAcentral.
AUCCCUGGCUCAGAUUGAACGCUGGCGGCAGGCCUAACACAUGCAAGUCGAGCGGUAGAGAGAAGCUUGCUUCUCUUGAGAGCGGCGGACGGGUGAGUAAUGCCUAGGAAUCUGCCUGGUAGUGGGGGAUAACGUUCGGAAACGGACGCUAAUACCGCAUACGUCCUACGGGAGAAAGCAGGGGACCUUCGGGCCUUGCGCUAUCAGAUGAGCCUAGGUCGGAUUAGCUAGUUGGUGAGGUAAUGGCUCACCAAGGCGACGAUCCGUAACUGGUCUGAGAGGAUGAUCAGUCACACUGGAACUGAGACACGGUCCAGACUCCUACGGGAGGCAGCAGUGGGGAAUAUUGGACAAUGGGCGAAAGCCUGAUCCAGCCAUGCCGCGUGUGUGAAGAAGGUCUUCGGAUUGUAAAGCACUUUAAGUUGGGAGGAAGGGCAUUAACCUAAUACGUUGGUGUCUUGACGUUACCGACAGAAUAAGCACCG